CCUACGGGUGGCUGCAGUGAGGAAUAUUGGUCAAUGGGCGUAAGCCUGAACCAGCCAAGUCGCGUGUUUGAUGAAGGUCCUAUGGAUCUUAAACCUCUUUUAUAAGGGAAUAAAGUGCGGGACGUGUCCCUUUUUGUAUGUACCUUAUGAAUACCGAUCGGCUAACUCCGUGCCAGCAGCCGCGGUAAUACGGAGGAUCCGAGCGUUAUCCGGAUUUAUUGGGUUUAAAGGGUGCGUAGGCGGCCUUUUAUGUCAGCGGGGAAAGUCUGUGGCUCAACCAUAGAAUUGCCGUUGAAACUGGGAGGCUUGAGUAUAGAUGAGGCAGGCGGAAUGCGUGGUGUAGCGGUGAAAUGCUUAGAUAUCGCGAAGAACACCGGUUGCGAAGGCAGCCUGCCGAGCCAUGACUGACGCUGAGGCACGAAAGCGUGGGGAUCAAACAGGAUUAGAUACCCGGGUAGUC
This 460-nucleotide ribosomal RNA is filed under the name uncultured bacterium. RNAcentral's name for it is "partial 16S ribosomal RNA". It matches the Rfam family "Bacterial small subunit ribosomal RNA", at positions 338 to 795 of the family's 1533-position model. The record is from RNAcentral.